AUUGAACGCUGGCGGCAGGCCUAACACAUGCAAGUCGAGCGGAUGAAGGGAGCUUGCUCCUGGAUUCAGCGGCGGACGGGUGAGUAAUGCCUAGGAAUCUGCCUGGUAGUGGGGGAUAACGUCCGGAAACGGGCGCUAAUACCGCAUACGUCCUGAGGGAGAAAGUGGGGGAUCUUCGGACCUCACGCUAUCAGAUGAGCCUAGGUCGGAUUAGCUAGUUGGUGGGGUAAAGGCCUACCAAGGCGACGAUCCGUAACUGGUCUGAGAGGAUGAUCAGUCACACUGGAACUGAGACACGGUCCGGACUCCUACGGGAGGCAGCAGUGGGGAAUAUUGGACAAAGGGCGAAAGCCCGAUCCAGCCAUGCCGCGUGUGUGAAGAAGGUCUUCGGAUUGUAAAGCACUUUAAGUUGGGAGGAAGGGCAGUAAGUUAAUACCUUGCUGUUUUGACGUUACCAACAGAAUAAGCACCGGCUAACUUCGUG
This 484-nucleotide ribosomal RNA is filed under the name uncultured bacterium. RNAcentral describes it as "partial 16S ribosomal RNA". It matches the Rfam family "Bacterial small subunit ribosomal RNA", at positions 30 to 507 of the family's 1533-position model. The record is from RNAcentral.